GAUGAAGAACGUAGCGAAAUGCGAUAAGUAAUGCGAAUUGCAGAAUUCCAGUGAGUCAUCGAAUCUUUGAACGCACAUUGCGCCCUUUGGUAUUCCGAAGGGCAUGCCUGUUCGAGCGUCAUUAUCACCCCUCAAGCCCUCGGCUUGGUGUUGGACGGUUUGGUGGAGGCCCCCUCGGGGGCUCCUGCCCCUCCCAAAGACAAUGACGGCGGCCUCGUUGGACCUCCGGUACACUGAGUUCUUCACGGGACACGUAUCGGACACAUGGGUUUACGGGACACGGUCUGCCUCCCCUCAGGGAGAAUCUUUCUAAGGUUGACCUCGGAUCAGGUAGGGAUACCCGCUGAACUUAAGCAUAUCAAUAAGCGGAGGA
This 373-nucleotide unclassified non-coding RNA is filed under the name soil metagenome. RNAcentral's name for it is "partial contains 5.8S ribosomal RNA, internal transcribed spacer 2, and large subunit ribosomal RNA". The stretch from base 1 to 121 matches the Rfam family "5.8S ribosomal RNA", at positions 35 to 154 of the family's 154-position model. The record is from RNAcentral.